GACAGAGGCCCCGAGCGUUAGGCGGAAUCACUGGGCUUAAAGCGCGUGUAGGCGGAGGGCUAAGUACCUUGUGAAAUCCCACGGCUUAACCGUGGAACUGCUGGGUAUACUGGUCUUCUUGAGGCAUCCAGGGGCGAGCGGAACAAACGGUGGAGCGGUGAAAUGCGUAGAUAUCGUUUGGAACGCCAAUGGUGAAAACAGCUCGCUGGGGAUGUCCUGACGCUGAGACGCGAAAGCCAGGGGAGCGAACGGG
Molecule: ribosomal RNA, 253 nt
Filed under: uncultured bacterium
Lineage: Bacteria
Description: partial 16S ribosomal RNA
Rfam family: Bacterial small subunit ribosomal RNA
Source: RNAcentral